GCACUAACUUCUCCCUCUCCCUCCUCGCCUUGUACCCUGUUGUUUGUUUUUGUCUUCGUUUUUUCACGGUUUUAUUAUUAUUUCUUUGGUUAAUAGUUUUGUUAAUUAUUUUUGUCUUAAUCAAUUGUUAGGGUGUUUUUCCUGUUUGAUCCUUGAGUGAAAGUACAAGGCCCUGGUCCUGCUGAAGGAAUCCUGGAGCCGUCGUUUCUCCUUUCAUAAUCUAUCUUCCUGUACACCCACGAAUGUGGGUGUACAGGAAGAUAGAUUAUGAAAGGAGAAACGACGGCUCCAGGAUUCCCCGCUCUCUUCUCUUCUGGGCUCUGGACUACUGUGUGGCUUAUAGAACACGCUGCAAAGGAUUGUGGGAUAGUGCUCUUCAGCUUCCGGGACAGGUGGUGGCGGGCUUCUGGUGAAGUCCAGGGUUAGAGAUAGGCGGUUCCACAUCAUCACUCCCCUGUUAUGUUUACCAGCCCGGGAGCGCUUCUCUGUCAACUAUAGGCCUAUUUUUAUAAUAAUGAUACAGGGGCAAUGUAUAAACCAUAGGAGAGGAAAAAAAAUAAAGCGGCCUGCAGGUUUUCUAAUGUUGAUGAGUGUUCUCUCUCUCUCUCUGUCCAUAUCUGUGUCUCUCUCUCAAUCACCCAGGGAACGUUGGUAUAAUUUGGUGUUCUACAAUCAGAGGCUGUAUAUGGCUGUAGAACAAGUGGGAGAAAUUGUCCUAUGAUAUAAAUAUAUAUAAAUAUAUAUAAAUAUACGACUACGUGGUUAGCAAACAUUCUGUGUACUACACUCAUGCUUAUGUGUCAUUUUUCCUCUAAGUUCUAAUAUGAUUAAACUAAUCUGCUGCAUAUCUCUAGUCUUGUCAAUUCAAACGUGUGUGUGUGUGUGUGUGUGUGUGUGUGUGUGUGUGUGUGUGUGUGUGUGUGUGUGUGUGUGUGUGUGUGUGUGUGUGUGUGUGUGUGUGUGUGUGUGUGUGUGUGUGUGUGUGUGUGUGUGUGUGUGUGUGUGUGUGUGUGUGUGUGUGGUUACUAAAUUAGGACACAAGGGGGCACCAAUGAUGCCCCGACGUAGAGCAGAAUUACAUUAAGUAAUUUUGCACGGGGCCACAGUUGUGGUCGCAUGGGCCAAUCGGGGAAGGAGAAUUGUUUCCGUCAGACCAAUCGAGGUUGCAUUGACCUGCUGAGCCCUGGGUGCAAACCCAUUUAGACCGCAUGCAAAUGAUCCUUCGCAGUGGUCCUGAUCUCAUCCAAUCAUAUUUCCCCCCAAGGUGAUUUCCCAAGCCUAGCCAGAUCUCAUAUCCAAAUAUUUAUUCAAUUUUAGGUUAUGCUAAUGAUUCAGCAUUUCUCAUCUUUCUAUGUGGUGGUGUUUGAGUACCACAGAUUGUGUGUGUGUCUAGUCAAAAAAGAGUGGAGCAAAAGAGUGCAAGUUUAUGCACACAUGUUUGCAUGAGAGAGGGAAAUUGUAUAUAUUUGUGCGCAUGUGAGAGAGUUUGUCUGGCUGUGUGGAAGAGUGUUGAUUUUAUAAGAGUAGGUAUCUUUGUGUAUGUGAGCGAAGGCGUAUAUCAAAGUGUUAAUUAUUAAAUGAAUGUGCUUGUGAAAGUCUACUUGGUGCGAUGGUGUGUGUGUGUGUGUGUGUGUGUGUGUGUGUGUGUGUAAUGUGUAAAAAAAAAAAAUGUGUGAAUGUUUGUACUGUAUGCGUGUGUGAAAGGGCGUUGAUUUCAUGAGAGUCAUGUGCAUGUGAGCGAGAGAAAGGGAGCAUGAGUGUGUGUGUGUGUGUGUGUGGGGGGCAGUUCUGCAGCGGCAGAUGGCAGCCCAGUGUGAUGUCUGCUAGGAUGCAUGGAGACGCUGGCAGAGAGCGGCUCCUCCUCAGCUUCCAUCCAUCACUCCACCGCCCUCUUCCUCUCCUCCCGUGUUCCUCUCUCCUCUCUUUGUUUCUCCUCAAACCAUCCCCUUAUCUGUCUCAUCUCCACUCCUCAUCAAAAAAAGAUCAUUUAUAAUGAUCCCUGCAUGGAUAUGAUCCUUACCUAGCCGAGUGCCCUUUUUUUUUCAAAUACUAAUCACAGCUCUAUCUGUGUUCAUCUCAGUUCAUCUCUCUGUGUUCCGGUCCGUCUGUCCCUGGAGUUUUGGCCCCCGAUUGCUGGAUCUCUGCCGGCCUCCGCUGCUGACGGUCCUCCGCCUCAUAGUGUCCUUGAUAAAAACCAGUGUGUGUGUUCUUUCUUACAAAAAUGAACAUUUCCACUUCAUCUCAUGAUUCAUUUCCCCAGUGAAAGUGAUGUGAUACCACUCCACGACCAUUCUCUCCCCCUCUCUCACCUAUGCUUGCUCUCUCUCUCUCUCUCUCUCUCUCUCUCUCUCUCUCUCUCUCUCUCUCUCUCUCUCUCUCUCCUGCUCAUCCUGUAGCAUACCGUUGCUGUCAACCCCAAAGGGACGGCAGAAUGUGUUUGUCAAAGGUGUUCAUACAUCGCGGGCUCUUCAUUUUAACAAGCCGUGCCCCACCAGUGGGGUGUCAUAUUUUAAUUGGUCGCAAAUGCAAUAAAGCCGCUCUACACAGCACAUGUGUGACGGGUAUUAAUUACAUGCACACUAAUAGCCCUCAAACUCCACGCUGCCAUAUUGUCCCUCCUGCUGUUUUGAAUGUUUUUUUAUGCUCUCUCUAUUUGCUCCUUGCUGUCGCCACAUGUACCACAGAGAAGAACAGAGAAAUAUUGUCUGACAAAAUGAUCAGUCCCCAAGCUCCAAUCUGAAUGGUUUCGAUGGUCGCUGAAAUAGAAAGGUACUAUAACUGCCUGUGAUGAUUAAGCUCUGUGCUAUCGCGACUCAGCCGUCACUGCAGAGUCAAAGUUACUAUUCUGGGACUUGUACAUAGAGAUAUUUUCAUUCUGAAACAGGAUCAGGUGUGCCUGUUUGUGUGUGUGUAGAAAGGUGUGUAAGAGAAACCAGGUGACCGACACACAUUUAAUGUUAACUUAACAAAGGAUCCCCAAUGCAAUGUCCCCACGUAGAAAAAUAUUACAGCUCCUAACUUCACCUCUCUGUCUCUCUCUAUCCCUCUCUCUGCCUCUUUCUCUGUGUCUCUAUCAGUCUCACCUCUCCCUCUCUCCACUGUAUAGCGAUAGGCUGAGAUGUGUGAAAUAACUAGAACCAGUAUGUAUGAGGAGAUGCAGUUACUAUAACAACUAACAUGAGCGUUCUCCCUCUCUCCCUUGCCUUUUUUCCAACUCCCCGCAUCCCCGACCCACCCACCCACCCACCCCUCUCUCGCCUGC
This is a long non-coding RNA of Gadus macrocephalus (Pacific cod), 3262 nucleotides long. RefSeq lists it as uncharacterized. The record is from RefSeq and is a predicted model, not a curated record. The transcript has 3 exons. Lineage: Eukaryota; Metazoa; Chordata; Actinopteri; Gadiformes; Gadidae.